UGCGACGCCGCGUGCAGGAUGAAGGCCUUCGGGUCGUAAACUGCUGUCAGGGGGGAAGAAACUUUACGUAUGAAUAAUACGUAAACUGACAUCACCCCCAAAGGAAGCCACGGCUAACUCUGUGCCAGCAGCCGCGGUAAGACAGAGGUGGCAAGCGUUGUUCGGAUUUAUUGGGUGUAAAGGGUCCGUAGGUAGUUAUGCAAGUCUGGUGUGAAAGCCCAUGGCUCAACCGUGGAAUUGCAUUGGAAACUGCAUGACUUGAGUACCGGAGAGGUGAAGGGAAUUCUCGGUGUAAGGGUGAAAUCUGUAGAUAUCGAGAGGAACACCAGUGGCGAAGGCGCUUCACUGGCCGGUUACUGACACUGAGGGACGAAAGCAAGGGGAGCAAACAGGAUUAGAUACCCUGGUAGUCCUUGCCGUAAACGAUGUGGAUUAGGUGUCAGGGGUGUCGAUCCCUCUGGCGCCGACGCUAACGCAUUAAAUCCACCACCUGGGGAGUACGGUCGCAAGACUGAAACUCAAAGAAAUUGACGGGGACCCGCACAAGCGGUGGAGCAUGUGGUUUAAUUCGAGGCUACGCGAAGAACCUUACCCAGGUUUGAAAAGCAGUUGACAUCCCAUGAAAGU
Molecule: ribosomal RNA, 627 nt
Filed under: uncultured bacterium
Lineage: Bacteria
Description: bacterial SSU rRNA
Rfam family: Bacterial small subunit ribosomal RNA
Source: RNAcentral